Mercurialis annua (annual mercury) is the source of this 373-nucleotide long non-coding RNA. RefSeq lists it as uncharacterized. The transcript is spliced from 2 exons. NCBI's taxonomy places the organism in Eukaryota, Viridiplantae, Streptophyta, Magnoliopsida, Malpighiales, Euphorbiaceae. The record is from RefSeq and is a predicted model, not a curated record.
CAGUUGCUCAUACUCAAAAAUAAAGCUCAUUGAAAAACAAAAGGAGAGAAGUUUCAUUAAUUAUUUGGUGAUCAUGACUCAAAGAAAGGCUUCUAUCAUGAAAAGUUCGAAACGACAACGCGGAAAACCGAGACCAGGAAGAAAUCCUCCAGAAAUAAAUAGAGUUUCGAGAGUUAUGAGAAGCGUUGAGUUUAGACAAGAAAUUAUAAUAAAUUCUAAUAACUUGGUUGUUAUGGAAGAAAAGAAGACUGAAGUAAUAAUUUUGGACAAUUCCAAUCUUUUGAAAAAAUGAUGCUACUGUUCAUGUAAAUUUAUUAAGUCUCAUCAUGGCUAGGUUAUAUAUAUCACCUGUGUGUGCGGGGCUUUUCUUUUA